RNAcentral lists this ribosomal RNA (993 nucleotides) under uncultured Corynebacterium sp. RNAcentral describes it as "bacterial SSU rRNA". It matches the Rfam family "Bacterial small subunit ribosomal RNA", at positions 505 to 1498 of the family's 1533-position model. The record is from RNAcentral. Lineage: Bacteria; Bacillati; Actinomycetota; Actinomycetes; Mycobacteriales; Corynebacteriaceae.
GUGCCAGCAGCCGCGGUAAUACGUAGGGUGCGAGCGUUGUCCGGAAUUACUGGGCGUAAAGGGCUCGUAGGUGGUUUGUCGCGUCGUCUGUGAAAUUCCGGGGCUUAACUCCGGGCGUGCAGGCGAUACGGGCAUAACUUGAGUACUGUAGGGGUAACUGGAAUUCCUGGUGUAGCGGUGAAAUGCGCAGAUAUCAGGAGGAACACCGAUGGCGAAGGCAGGUUACUGGGCAGUUACUGACGCUGAGGAGCGAAAGCAUGGGUAGCGAACAGGAUUAGAUACCCUGGUAGUCCAUGCCGUAAACGGUGGGCGCUAGGUGUGAGUCCCUUCCACGGGGUUCGUGCCGUAGCUAACGCAUUAAGCGCCCCGCCUGGGGAGUACGGCCGCAAGGCUAAAACUCAAAGGAAUUGACGGGGGCCCGCACAAGCGGCGGAGCAUGUGGAUUAAUUCGAUGCAACGCGAAGAACCUUACCUGGGCUUGACAUACACCAGAUAGGGCCAGAGAUGGUCUUUCCCUUUGUGGUUGGUGUACAGGUGGUGCAUGGUUGUCGUCAGCUCGUGUCGUGAGAUGUUGGGUUAAGUCCCGCAACGAGCGCAACCCUUGUCUUAUGUUGCCAGCACGUUAUGGUGGGGACUCGUGAGAGACUGCCGGGGUUAACUCGGAGGAAGGUGGGGAUGACGUCAAAUCAUCAUGCCCCUUAUGUCCAGGGCUUCACACAUGCUACAAUGGUCGGUACAACGCGUUUGCGAGCCUGUGAGGGUGAGCUAAUCGCUGUAAAGCCGGUCGUAGUUCGGAUUGGGGUCUGCAACUCGACCCCAUGAAGUCGGAGUCGCUAGUAAUCGCAGAUCAGCAACGCUGCGGUGAAUACGUUCCCGGGCCUUGUACACACCGCCCGUCACGUCAUGAAAGUUGGUAACACCCGAAGCCAGUGGCCUGUUAAAGGGAGCUGUCGAAGGUGGGAUCGGCGAUUGGGACGAAGUCGUAACAAGGUA